GUGCUUGCUUUGACUGCACAUGUACUAAAAUUGGAUGGAUACAGAGAAAAUUAGCAUGGUCUUUGCACAAGAAUAACAUGCAAAUCAUGAAAUAUUCCAGAUUCUU
RNAcentral lists this small nuclear RNA (106 nucleotides) under Castor canadensis (American beaver). The record is from RNAcentral. Lineage: Eukaryota; Metazoa; Chordata; Mammalia; Rodentia; Castoridae.